GAUGAACGCUGGCGGCGUGCCUAAUACAUGCAAGUCGAGCGAACAGAUGAGGAGCUUGCUCCUCUGACGUUAGCGGCGGACGGGUGAGUAACACGUGGAUAACCUACCUAUAAGACUGGGAUAACUUCGGGAAACCGGAGCUAAUACCGGAUAAUAUAUUGAACCGCAUGGUUCAAUAGUGAAAGACGGUUUUGCUGUCACUUAUAGAUGGAUCCGCGCCGCAUUAGCUAGUUGGUAAGGUAACGGCUUACCAAGGCAACGAUGCGUAGCCGACCUGAGAGGGUGGUCGGCCAAGCUGGAACUGAGAAACGGUCCAAAAACCUACGGGAGGCAACAAUAGGGAAUCUUCCGCAAUGGGAGAAAGCCUGACGGAGCAACGCCGCGUGAGUGAAGAAGGUCUUCGGAUCGUAAAACGCUGUUAUUAGGGAAGAACAAAUGUGUAAGUAACUAUGCACGUCUUGACGGUACCUAAUCAGAAAGCCACGGCUAACUACGUG
Molecule: ribosomal RNA, 497 nt
Filed under: uncultured bacterium
Lineage: Bacteria
Description: partial 16S ribosomal RNA
Rfam family: Bacterial small subunit ribosomal RNA
Source: RNAcentral